Pipistrellus kuhlii (Kuhl's pipistrelle) is the source of this 1210-nucleotide long non-coding RNA. RefSeq lists it as uncharacterized. The transcript is spliced from 3 exons. NCBI's taxonomy places the organism in Eukaryota, Metazoa, Chordata, Mammalia, Chiroptera, Vespertilionidae. The record is from RefSeq and is a predicted model, not a curated record.
AGUUAAGUCCAGUCACGAAAUCCAAGUUAAGGCAACGGAACAAUCAAUGAAGAUUUUGCAACCCAUUGGCGCCUUGCGCUUCCUGGAACUAAAAUAAAUGCAGGAAAUCGAAACUUAAUUACUUGAAAGAAAUCCAGAAAUCCCUCUGCAUAAUGUAUCCAGUCAUUUUUGGUGGCGUUUGUGUUCGAUGCAGUGUUUGUUAACGCUAUACUUUUCACUAAGGUCUGGCUCCCUUCCGGGGGACUCCUUGGGGACUGCUGUACCCCACACGGGCCAGGAGUUUUGCUUUAGCACUAGGCUCCCUCUUCUUCCACCGUGCACAGCUGAAGUAAUAACGUUUCUUUUCAGAAGUCCUCAACUGUAACGGUACAAGAACCCUUGGCUCUGACGGCUCUGUGCCAUCCCCCACACUAUUGUUUGUCCAUGGACUAUGCAUGUCUCUAUUAUAAAAACUCCAUGGCUGUGACACCAUCAUGCCAUCACAACCAAAUGCCAAAAGGCACCUGCUGAACAUCAUAUGAUUUCUUCAUGGAAACAAGAGCAAUGGAUAGAAAACCACCAGGCAGAGAAUCCAAGAUGGCAGCAGAGCUGGUGGAAGCUAUGCUCACCUCCUCCCAGGACCAAACUGAAAUUACAGCUAAAAUAUAAAGCAAGCAACCUGAAUAACCAACUGAUGACUAGCUGAAGAAAAGGAUUUAUAGAAGAAGCCACCUCGAGAUUGGUAGGAAGGGCAGAGAUGUGAAAAGAGUUGGCCCAGCUGAGAUUUUGGAAUGAUACUUCAGCUGCAAAAGUUUCUUCUGAGGAGCACCAGGGCCAGGAAGGGGUGCCCACAUAACAUCUGGCUGUGAAAAGCAGCGAGGUUUCUACCUCACAAGGUAAGAUUUGGACAAUGUGAGAGAUCUAGCAAAGAGAGAAAGCAUAUAUGUAAAGAUCAUGUUCUAGGACCAGUAAGGAGGCCAGUGUGGCUGUUGCAGAGAGAACAAGGAAAAGAGUAGAAGGUGAACAAGGUGGUGAAGGCUGCUAGGGUGACUUUGGGAGGAAUAUCAGAAACCCACUUUUGAAUAUGUUUAGAUCAAAAUGCCUAUUAUACAUGUAUCCAAUUAGAAUGUCAAGUAACAGUCAGAUAUGUGAUUCCAAAUGAGAGAGCUUUGGACAUUAAAUCCAGACUGGUAUAAACUGUUUUUGUGUGGGCCUUUUAUCAUUGUUUGCA